Molecule: ribosomal RNA, 492 nt
Filed under: uncultured bacterium
Lineage: Bacteria
Description: bacterial SSU rRNA
Rfam family: Bacterial small subunit ribosomal RNA
Source: RNAcentral
AGAGUUUGAUCCUGGCUCAGGACGAACGCUGGCGGCGUGCUUAACACAUGCAAGUCGAGCGGAAAGGCCCUUUCGGGGGUACUCGAGCGGCGAACGGGUGAGUAACACGUGAGUAAUCUGCCCUUGGCUUUGGGAUAACUACCGGAAACGGUGGCUAAUACCGGAUAUGACCAUGCUCGGCAUCGGGUGUGGUGGAAAGUUUUUCGGCCAGGGAUGUGCUCGCGGCCUAUCAGCUUGUUGGUGGGGUAAUGGCCUACCAAGGCUUCGACGGGUAGCCGGCCUGAGAGGGUGACCGGCCACACUGGGACUGAGACACGGCCCAGACUCCUACGGGAGGCAGCAGUGGGGAAUAUUGGACAAUGGGCGGAAGCCUGAUCCAGCAACGCCGCGUGAGGGAUGACGGCCUUCGGGUUGUAAACCUCUUUCAGUACCGACGAAGCGCCGAUGAUGGUGGUGACGGUAGGUACAGAAGAAGCACCGGCCAACUACGUG